Non-coding RNA from Pelobates cultripes (western spadefoot toad), 248 nucleotides. Lineage: Eukaryota; Metazoa; Chordata; Amphibia; Anura; Pelobatidae. The record is from the annotation of a GenBank genome assembly.
CACUGCAACAAUGGCUAUAUAUUGCAUAAAUCAGACUCACAACCAUACCUCACACUGUAAAUGUAAAUGAAUUGAUACAGUAAUGAUCAGUUACAGGAGAGGUAGAAACCAAUAACACAGAUAUUACUAGGCAAAGACAAGAAGAAUCAGAUCAUACAGAUUAGUUUAAAAAAAUAUCGGUAUGAACCGUAGAAUUUGUGUCAACUACUAAAUUAUAAGUAGGCAAUGUAGGCCAACCACGACAGUAC